UACAGAGGGUGCAAGCGUUAAUCGGAAUUACUGGGCGUAAAGCGCACGUAGGCGGCUUGGUAUGUCGGGGGUGAAAUCCCCGGGCUCAACCUGGGAACUGCAUCCGAAACUGCCUUGCUGGAGUAUGGGAGAGGGAAGCGGAAUUUCCGGUGUAGCGGUGAAAUGCGUAGAUAUCGGAAGGAACAUCAGUGGCGAAGGCGGCUUCCUGGACCAAUACUGACGCUCAGGUGCGAAAGCGUGGGGAGCAAACAGG
This 253-nucleotide ribosomal RNA is filed under the name uncultured bacterium. Its description in RNAcentral is "partial 16S ribosomal RNA". It matches the Rfam family "Bacterial small subunit ribosomal RNA", at positions 524 to 776 of the family's 1533-position model. The record is from RNAcentral.